Rattus norvegicus (Norway rat) is the source of this 29380-nucleotide non-coding RNA. NCBI's taxonomy places the organism in Eukaryota, Metazoa, Chordata, Mammalia, Rodentia, Muridae. The record is from RefSeq and is a predicted model, not a curated record.
UCUUCAUGAACAAAAAUGGCUUCAAAUGUUUCCAUUUUCGCUACUGACCGCUGUAAGAGCUCCACUUGCAGGUGCAGACUCCUGGUCACCUGGCCUUCCUCUGGGAAGAUUAAGCUUCAUCAACAAGGUGUGAACUCUUCUCACAGGCAGAAAAUCGGCUUCCUCGCUUCCCUUUUCCAAUUUCAGGGUAAGGAAUCGGCAAAAGUGUCACGCGGUCAGUUAAACAUACCUGUUAAACUACACAGACACGUGUAAGUUAAACAGACCUGGUGGGUGUGCAAGCAUGUGUGCACAUGCGUGUGCACACACACUCUCACACACCAGUUAACAUAACUGUUAAGCAAAGAGCAAAAGCUGGGCCAAUGUACAAGCAAGGUUCCAUGAUGGUUGCAUGUCUGCAUGUCUUCCUGUUGGGACUUAGAAGGGUGUGUGUGUGUGUGUGUGUGUGUGUGUGUGUGUGUGUGUGUGUGUGUCUGUGUGUGUGGUGAUGGUAGGGGGGCAGGGAUGAGGCUUCCUGCCCUUCAGGAGUUCGUCUCCAGCCUUUCUUGGGUACGGGCAUAGAUAGAAGAAAGCACUUAAGGACUGUCUCCCACGAGCCCUACCCGGACAAUGGUGUUCCAGGAAGACAGGCUUAGUUAGAUCUGGCUGAUGUUUCUAGAGCAAUGCUGUGCCCAUUUUAGGGAAGACAGCUCCUUGCUGGGCUCCCCUGACCCUGUGCUCCCAAGAGCCCCAAAAGGGUGACAGACCCAGACUCUGAAUCUGUUGAGUUGCAGGGAGUACAUGGACUCCCAGGCCUGGGGUCCCUUCCACUGUCUGAGAACUAGGACAUCUAAGAGUCUGUGGUGCCCUUGUCUCUCAGAGCCAAGGUUUUGCUUUCUGACCUAAAGGAACAAUCCGUCUCAUUGUCGUCUUCUUCCCAGGGUAAAGGUAAAUCCGGCCAAUGCGGCAAGUGUACAAAAGUGAACUCUACCCUGCUUGUACAAGCUAGGCCCUUGGCAGUGGAGGUGGGACACCAAGGAUGUGGCCACAUCAGGGGAGAGCUGGUCCUCAGUACCGGGAGAGUUCCAAGGGCAGGUGGUCAAGUUCACAGCUCCUUCCCAGAAAGGGUGAACUCGGGGCAGGAGGAAGUUGUGUUCACAGCCUGUCAGUGUGAGCUCUCAAAACAAGCAGGAGAUAAGCGCUUGUCCCCAAAGGCAAGUGUCAAUUCCCCACUUAGGUCUGAGGGAUGGACCCACAGGGAUCAAGCACUUGCCUCUUGGACAGAGCUGAGUGGCAGGCUCUGUGCUCACAGGAAGAGGCUCAGGAGAUGUUUGUGAGUCCUCUCCCAGAAUCUUCCCCCCACAUAGUCUAGGCAGGCAUUUCCCUCUUGUCUUGGAGAAGGAGGACGCUUGAGGUGGAAAGGUGAGAGUGUGAAGUGGCCUUGGGGAUGACGCCUCUGCGGAGAGGUUCAUCCAUGGUGCUUCUGUGGAGAGGUUCACGCAGAGCCUCACAGCCAGGUCUCUCUGCUCUUGGACAGUCCGUUCCCUCUGUGCUGUUCUCUUGGGACUUACUGCCUUUUUCUUCCUUCGGAACAGAACUGUCUUCCUGUAUGUUUCCCCUGCACUCCCCUGCUACUGACAUUAUGAUGUAUUUAAACUCAAGACUGUAAAGAAGGUUCCAACUCUGUCCCAUGGGAGGAACAAUGACUGAUGUCUAAUAGUUGUUCAGACGUUUAACAAAUUAGGUACAUGUAUAUAAACAAACGGAUUUUGUUACAGAAGUGAAACUUUGGAAUAUAUAUAUGUAUAUAUAUAUAUCACAUAUGUAUGUGCCUAUUUAUACACACAUUUGUAUCUCUCAUAUAGCUGUCAAUAAGUAUCAUGUGUCCAUCCGUAAAUUUAUCUACAUACCUAUCAUUGACCCAUUUAUCACCCAUUUUCUGUCAUCCAACGGUCAUCUGUCCAUGUAGCAUGUAUUUAUCAUCUGUGUAUCUAGCAUUUUUGUCUUUCAUAUCUAUUAUAUCCACUUUUCUUUUUUUAAAAAGAUUUAUUUAUUAUAAAUGUGCACUGUAGCUGUCUUCAGACACACCAGAAGAGGACAUCAGAUCCCAUUACAGAUGGUUGUGAGCCACCAUAUGGUUGCUGGGAAUUGAACUCAGGACCUCUGGAAGAGCAGUCAGUGCUUUUAACCACUGAGCCAUCUCUCCAGCCCCCAUCUAUCCAUUUUCUAUUGCCUGUCCCCUAUCACCCACUUACCUAUCAUGCAUGUAUGUAUGUAUGUAUGUAUGUAUGUAUGUAUGUAUGUACAACUUAUCAUCUAUCCAUUGAUUUGUCAUCUAUCAAUCAUCGGUCUACCUAGCAUUUAGUUAUCUGUCUGUCUGUCUAUUAUCUAUCAUCCAUCCAUCCAUUCCCUUAUUGGCGUCACCCUGUGAUCUCCGCAGGUUUUUGAGAAGUUCACAACUUCCUGGUCAUGAGCCUCGGCUCCCUGUGAGGCACUUCUGACUUAUCACUCACACUGUCCAGCAAGGCAGACUGACAACAGGGCUCUGCGGUUUAGCUUAUAUUUGGCCGGCCAUCUUUUUGUGUUUGAGGAUCCCUGCUACUUACAAUUCCCUCCGUGGUCCUUUCCCACGAGAGUAUGAGUAUCCCGCAGCCAUCUCUCCAUGCCUCUCUGCGGCCUUACUUCUUGUUCUGUUUUGUUUGAAUUUGGUUCUGUUUUGGUAACUUAGAUUUGGCAGCACACAUCAUUCUUCUAUUUGUAACAUCACGAAACACGACAAGGUGGCUGCCAUAGAAAUAGCCAGAACAAAGACUGGGCACCCCGCACCCUGCUUGCUCACUGGCCUUCCUUCCCAGUGGCCCACACUAAGCACUUUCAGCUGCUUGUUGUUGAAUCCACAUUACAGAGAGAGACCUUUGCGUUUUCUGUCCUGACCGUCACCAGUUUCACCCCACAGCUUCUCGCUUUCCCACUUUUGGCCUGCACCCUAUCCAGACUCCUACCCCCAGCUCCCCACUGCAGCCAGACAGCUCAGGAAGGGUUAAACUCGGGCCAGCGGCAGCUCCACACACUUAAUCCGGAUUCCCAGCACUGAUCUCCUGGCCUGUCAUUUGCAUUUCUCUCCUUUGUGCUGGGUUUUUCUUCCUGCCUUUCCUGGGGCCCGAGCGCCCGCAUUAGCAUAGCGCACAGGGCGUGCAGACUGCAGGGCCCCCCGCUGCGCGCCAGCCUGUGCAAUCGGCAGGCGCCAUCAAUUUUUCAGCACUUUCCUCAUUUCUCAUUACAGUCAGGCCCACGCGGCUUCCCACUCAACACAAUCCUCAGCCGUCCGUCCUGUUGGCGAGCCAGAGGCUGCCAUGUCCCCUCCUGACUCUGCCGAGCGUGCACCCGCUUGUUGAAGCGCCCACCAUAAUUAAUCACAGAAUUAAUCCCGGCCAAGCCUGUCUUCCUGAGUAACUAGGCCAGUACGCUUGGGUGCCUGGUCCCCACAGCAAUUUUAUCAACCAUGAGAACUGGGUAACACCCCUGCAGCCAGGAAUGCUAUGGGGACUCUGGGCUGAGCUUACCUUCCAUACUCGCACCCUUUCAGGGCCAUUCAUACCUUCGCCAUACCUGCAAGGAUACGGCCUCUUUGCAAGCUACCAUGCAUGCCACAGGCACUGAGAGACACAGAAUGGUACAGCUCACAGGAAAGGGUGUUUCUUUUUCACGUGGCCUGAUGGGGAAGUUAUCUUUAGGUACCAAAGUGGGUGGUUGUCAUAGCGAUUUGUGCAUUAUUAAGAGUAGUGUUCAUCCCCGAAGCUAAUCUGAUAAUGAAGCUGGCUCAUUAUCAGGAGGAGGCAAAGUUGACAUCUGCUUGCCUUUUUGCUGUGCAAUUGGGGUCCAGCUCCAAAUCCACGGUUGAGUCCCAGGGUCCAUCUUUGAUGUAGUAACCCCAUCUUCUCUGCUCUUUAGGGGACAGAAAAAGAGGACUGGGUUGGAGGGAGCACCUGACAUUUGUUUAGUGGAGGUCCCCACAGCUGGAAAACACUUCAGAGCACACAGUGUAGCAGAGAGUAGGGUGGAGAGACACAUCAAGAUUGCCACGCAAGGGCUGGAGAAACAGCACAGCAGUUAAGAGCACUGACUGCUCUUCCAGGUCCUGAGUUCAAUUCCCAGAAACCACAUGGUAGCUCCCAUCCAUCUGUAACGGGAUCCAGUGCCUUCUUUUGUGUGUCAGAAGACAGCUACAAUGUAAUCAUAUACAUUAAAUAAAUAAUAUUAAAAAAUGUAAUUUGUGAGAAAAAAGAUUGCCAUGCAAAAGAAGUCAGCUCCUUGGAAGGCAGGAAACUCCUCCCAUCAGGACUAGACAUAGGGAACCUAGCACGCGUGAGAGAGGCCAGCAAUUUCUCAAAGUGGGAGAGAAGGUGGGCACAGUGAACCUGACCCAUGAAAGUUUUUGACCUUCCAACUUUCCUUAGCUCUCUGGCACACUUCCAGUCUCUUACUAGACUAUGUCUAUCUCUGCCAAUUUUUUGUUGUUGGAUGUCAGAACCUGGAGCCCUCAGCAGGUGCCCUCUGCACUCUGCACCAAGCAGGUGACAUCAAGAGCCUUUGGAAAGCAAAACAAAUGGACCCCAGGUUUUUAUGUAGAGGCAGGUGGAUCUUGAUCUCUCUGCGACCCAGGCAGGUCUUGAACUCAGAACCACCUUGCCUUAGCUGUCUGGACCAUCUGGCCUGCCUAGAAAUGCAGGAUUUAGAGUGCUAGGACCAAUAGGCUGUUCCUUGACUAAGCAUGAGGUGUGUGGGUCUCUUCACAAGCUUUUCUGUUUAUUUGAUGUUGUUUUGUGUUUUCCUUUAACAAAAGCAACUCAGGGCACCGUGAAGACGGUUAACAAGUGAGGUGGUGCUUACCUCCAAUCUCAUUAGGAGCUUCCCCCCACCCCUAACCUCCAGCCCCCCACAGCCCUGUCACCAGCUCUGUAUCUUUCCAGAGAUGUUUCGCGCCUCUAUACUCAUGUGCAAAUAAAUCCCUUUAAAGUCCUCAAAUGUCAGCUUCCACUUCCCCUCUCUGUCCCCCACACUCUUCUAGCAGUACAUUGAAAUCUUUCUCAUCUUAUUAAAUGAUGGCCAAACAGUGGGCUGAGUAUGUGGUGUAGUGUGGUCUGGAUCUAUAUGUAUGUGUGUAUGUGUGUAUGUGUGUGUAAUUUGUGUGCAUGUGUGUAUGCGUAUGUGUGUAUGUGUAUGUAUAUGUAUGUGUGCCUAGAUGUGUGUGUAUAUGUGUAAUAUGUGUAUGUGAGUGUGUGUGUGUGUAUUUGUGUGCAUGUGUGUAUGCGUAUGUGUAUAUGUGUAUUUGUGUGCAUGUGUGUAUGCGUAUGUGUGUAUGUGUAUGUAUAUGUAUGUGUGCCUAGAUGUGUGUGUAUAUGUGUAAUAUGUGUAUGUGAGUGUGUGUGUCUGUAUUUGUGUGUAUGUGUGUAUGCGUAUGUGUGUAUGUGUAUUUGUGUGCAUGUGUGUAUGCGUAUGUGUGUAUGUAUAUGUAUAUGUAUGUGUGCCUAGAUGUGUGUGUAUAUGUGUAAUAUGUGUAUGUGAGUGUGUGUGUGUGUAUGCGUAUGUGUGUAUGUGUAUUUGUGUGCAUGUGUGUAUGCGUAUGUGUGUAUGUGUAUGUAUAUGUAUGUGUGCGUGUGUGCGUGUGUGUGUGUGUGUGUGUGUAGACAAGAGAACAGCGUCUGUAUUUGCUCUUCAGGAACCUUGCUUUUUUUUCCUGAGCAUUCAUUUGCCUCAGACUCAGUAAGCAGGCUAGACUGGCUGGCUGGCGGUGAGCCCCAGGUAUGUCGGUCUCUCCAGUGCUGGAUUACAAGCCCAUGUUACCACACCAUGUUUUAUAGGUGGGUUCUAGGAGUCUGUAUGAAUUUGCUUCGUGAUGCUGUGCUAACGCAUGGACCCAAACCAACUAUGAAGGGAGUGUUUCUUUGUCUUACAGGUAGAUCACAGUCCAACCUCAGAGGAAGGAAGGUAAGGCAGAAACUCAAGGUAGGAACUGAAGCACAGGGCAUAGAGGGCUGCUGCUAACUGGCUUACUGUCCGUGGCCUGCUCAGUUUGCUUUCUUCUUAUAUAACCCAGCACCACCUCCCCAGGGACAGCACUGCCUCCCAGUGGGCUAGGCCCUCCCAUAUCAAUCAUCAAUCAAGAUGUCCCAUAGAGCUGCCUUCAGAACAAUCUGAUAGAGGCCGUUCUGAAACUGCAGAUUCUUCUCCCCAGAUGACCCCGUUCUGUGUCAAGUUGACAAGAAAACUAACCAGAGCAGGACUGAACAGGUCCUCGUGAUUGCAAGUCAAGCAUCGGCUGAUGAACCUUCUCUUCAGCUCAUGUUGUAGGUUGUGAACAAGGCCCAGUGCACAGGGCAAAGCUUCCUUGUAAUGGGGCAAACGUUUGGCAAUUAUAGCUUCCCUCAUACCCUUCCUAUUUGUCUGAAACUUUAAACUUCCUUGUGUUUCCUCCUCCCUGAACUGCACAUUUCACAUCCUUUGAGUGGUAGCAUGCUGCAGCUCGAAUGCUAUGCUGUCUUGGAAUUCCCUCUGUCAAAACAAUUAAAUCAUUACUUUAAAAUUCAUCUUUGGGGUUGGGGAUUUAGCUUAGUGGUAGAGCACUUGCCUAGCAAGUGCAAGGCCCUGGGUUCGGUCCCCAGCUCCGAAAAAAAAAAAAAGAAAAGAAAAGAAAAGAAAAAAAAUUCAUCUUCAAGCAAGUUCUGAGGACAUGGGCAGAAUACAGUCACAUUCUCUGUCAGAAUGUAAUGGGAAUGGCCUCGGGCAGGCUAUCCAAUAGAGUCCUGCUCUUCUUCGAACCCUCAUGAGUUGGGCCUUCACUGUCCCAAUUUUCUUUUCUUCCAAAUUCCUACCACAAUGCCUCACUAAGCUCAGCUUAUAGGACUUAAAGGCUUUUAUAGUCCAAAAUUCCAAAUUCUCUUCCUUUAAACCAAAGGCCUAAGAACCACAUGGUCUAUCACGCCAAGGGCAGCACUCCUCAGUAUUAACUUUUUGUAUUAGUUACUUUCCUGAACAAAAGGUUUGAUUUGGCUCACAGCUAGAUUUGUUCCCCCAAGGCAGGGAAAAGCGUGGCAUCAGGGGUAUGAGGUAGCUGGUAACAUUGUAUCUACAGUGCAGAAGUGGAGAGAGAUGAAUGUGUGAGAGAGGCUACAUGUGUCACAGAGGCUGAGAUGGAGAAGCAGGGCUGCACAGAGCUGCUAGACACAGUGUGAGUCCCUCACGAACCCCUGAUGCUGAAUGGGGAGGGGGAGCUGUAGAGCUCUGCUUGUCCCUCAGGAUAUCAGUUUUACUUUGCUCUGUUCUUUCUUUGAUAAACUCCAUUUAUCCCUUUUGGGGUGGACUGUUUACUAUGUACCAUGUAUAUUGUAAAUAUGUAACUUUUUAUUCAAUAGAGGCUCACAGUUAGGAAAUUGACUGAGUCUCUAAGGAGACUUUGGAUUUUUGUUCAGUGUUAGGACUCUCUUAACAACCCCAAAACGAACACUGUGCUAUAUUUAUACAGUGAAAAUGAGACUUUAUGGAGCAAGGGUGGAAUGUUUUGACUUAAUGUAUUUGGGUGUGAAGUUGGCAAGGUGUGAAUUAGUCAACUUGAUUGGAUUCAGAAUCAACAUCAUGAUACAAUACCUGGUGUGGCUAUGGGAGGACUGCGGGGGAGGGGGUUGUUUCUAGAGAGUUUAAACUGAGGAAGGAAGACUACUCUGAAUGUGGGCAGCACCACCUUACAGUCUGUGGUUCUAGAUGGAGUAAGAAGGAGGAGGCAAAUGGUGGUGAAUAUUCACUUCUCUGUGCUGUUGGCUAUGGGUACAAAGUGACCUUCUGCCUCAUCCCCAGCCACCAUGCCUUUCCUGCCGUGAAAACUGUGAGCCCUACAUCCUCAAACUGUGAGUCAAAUUUGACCUUUCCUUCCUUAACUUGCCUGGUCAGUGAUUUUGUCACAGCAGCAAGAUGAUUAACAAACUAUACCCACUAGUCUUAUUCAUGUAGGCCUCCUGGUGCAAGUGGCUCCCUUCCCUGGACUUGACCUUGUCUAAAGCUAGCAUGGAUAAAGCUAGCAUGGAUAAAUUUCAAGCCUCAGUCUUACGGGGCUUCCAGUAUUUCUGCCUUUCCGGUUGUAUCUGGAGAUCUACUCUCCCCGCAAAUAGCUGCUUCCUCCUUAGCCUGGUCCCUGGACUGAAUGUGGAAUAGAUAUGAGGACAAAUCCAGUUGCACCAACACAAACCCAGGCUGGCCAGCUAUCUCCCAGCUGACCUGCAAAACAGUGGUGACAUAUCACUAGAAUCUGGGAUGUUUUGUCACAGAGCAUUGUUGCAGUAACAGUUACUGACACACGUGUUUGAAUAGACCAUACAGUGUGACCUUGCACACCAGUCAUGGCUGAGGACAGAAAGCGCCCUCGGAGACACCACUGUCUUUUUGACCUUAAGCAUGGGUUCUGCAUGAAGGAGGAAGCCUGUGACUCAAUUAAGAUGCAAUUAAGAUCCUCCUCUGUAGCAUCCUUUUAUCUGCUGUCCUCAUUAUUCUGGGUCCUUCUCCUCUUACCACAGGGACGGCGCUGCGCUUGCAUGCUGAUGAGUGUGUCUGUGACCCAACUUCUGAGUUGGAAAAGUCCGAGUAGUUAAUACGGACUUUAGCUCCACCAGCCAGCUCCUGAUAGACCCAGGAUUCUGGACACAAGAAAGCCCUCCUUGAGUUUUGAAAACUAUGAGAUAUCUCACUGUUUCAAGUGGAACGGCUUAAUUCUGGGAGUCCCUUGCUUCCCAGAGCAAUGAAGGUUGUUUUUGUUUGUUUGUUUGUUUGUUUGUUUGUUUGUUUGUUUUUAAUGAAUUUACUUUUGCUUUUGCAUUUCAACGGUUCAGUUUGGUCACAGAACAAUUCUCUCCCAUGGCAGUGAGAACUUUGAGGAGGAUGGGUCUUGAUUGAUGCACCUUUACACAAGGCUUUGCCCAGUUGAGGUAAUUUAUAUUCAGAGUUACUGUUGAAUGGUGUCUAUUCAUUCCUGUCAUUUUGGUGGCCUUGUGGAAUUUUCUUUUCUUUUCUUUUUUUUUUUUUUUUUUUUCCCGGAGCUGGGGACCGAACCCAGGGCCUUACGCUUCCUAGGCAAGUGCUCUACCACUGAGCUGAAUCCCCAACCCCAGUGGAAUUUUCUUAGACACAUUUUGCCUUAUUGUUUCUUUAUCCCCUUUGGCCUUUUGGGUGUGUUUAUCUGUCUCACCUGUCCUAAGUCUUCCUCAAGGUUUCUUCUGUAGAGCUGGCUUAGUGGUCGGAUGGAUCUUCCUUUAGUCAGCUUCAUUGUGGAAACUUUUUACUCCUCCUUCACUUAAUUAAAGAUAGUUGUUCUGGGUAUAAUAUUCUGGGCUGGUAUACUAUAUGGUCCAAGACUGUGGGUGCUAGAAAGCCCUCAUUUCUCUGUUGUGUUCUGACAUCCCCCACCCACCUCCCAUUCAAUCCAGCAUAGCUGUGGCCAUUUUUUUCCACACCUGCCAGCUACUUCAUACGGUUGCUGUAACAUGCCUGCCAGUCAUUAACCCAGGAAAAAUAACUUGACUCAGAGCAGGGUCAUGCUGACCACAUACCCAGUUACACCCUGUAUGAGGUUUGUUAAUCUUAAAGAAUUCCACAAAGUUUUAUGUAGGACCCAUCAAAUUCAAGGUCAAUAUGAACUCUUAUGUCUAAGAUGGCUUGAGUCAGAGCCGAUCACUGGGCAGCACUUCCUGUACCUGCCUAUGAGCUCAUUGUGGGUUUUAUUGAUUUUUUUUCCUUUAUAAGCUGACUGAAAAAGAUGUUUGUGGCUGUGGAUCAGUCCCAAAUUCUGAGCUAGGGUCCUUAUCCAUCAGUAUCAGGGUAUGCAUUCAACAAACUAUCUCUGUGACGGAGAUUGGAGUUCAUGUGGUUUGUGGAGCGACUCUCAGGCACCAACAUUCUCCUGAGCUUCUUUUGGGUUCUUAAAGGUCAACACUCAUUUGGUACUUGCACAUCCACAGUGAGUUUUAAAAACUGUGUGAAGAUGCCUUCUUGCUGUUUUCCAGUGACUUGGCUUACUCCCUGGAGUUCUUGUCUUCCCCAAAAUAUGGCUUUUUUUGUUUGGUUUUGUUUUUUGUUUUUGUUUGUUUGUUUGAUUGUUUAGGUUUUUCUCUGUCUAAUAAGCCCUUGCAGUCCUUGACCAGGCCGGACUCAAACUCAGAAAUUGGCCUGCCUCUGUCUCCUGAGUGCUGGGAUUAAAGACGUACCCCCAUCACAUCCGGCUGCUACGAUAUUUUAAAAAAGAAUUUAGUUUUGCUUUUGAACUUUAUCUGUACAGUUUGUUCACAGAACAACUCUCCCCCAUGACAGGGUGAGACAUUUGUGGAGGAUGGGCCUUGGUUGAGGCCAAGUUUUGAUUGUUAGAACUUGAAAUGCAUCUAAGUUCUUCUGGUUUUGAAUUUUCUAUCAAGCAAUCGGCUGUCAUGUUAACAGGCCUGCCUUUCUGUGACUUGGCCCUUCUCUCUUGCAGCUUUCAAUAUCUUUUCUUUAGGAAUGGGAUGAGAGGGGUUGGGGAUUUAACUCAGUGGUAGAGCACUUGCCUAGUAAGUGCAAGGCCCUGGGUUCAGUCCCCAACUCUGAAAAAAAAAGAAAAAAAAAAAGAAAAAAAAAAGAAAAAAGAAAAAAAAAAAAAAAGGAGUGGGAUGAGAACACCAAUCUCAGUCCGACAGAGUUAGUUUAUUUUGCAUCCACUGAUCGAUCAGGGCCUUAGACCACACCAGACUCAGGAGCUGAUUGUGAAGUCCAGCCACAAUCUUACAGAGCUUUAAGGCUUGAAACCCACAAACAUCUGUGCCAAGUUAUUUCACCAAUCAGGAUUUAGGGAUGGGGGUUUCCUUAGGAACAUGUCUUUGUUGUUCCCAAUGGUUGAGUUACUCAUCUGUGGCAGGGGACUUGCCUUGUCUAACAUUCACGUCUUAACUUGCCAACCAGUAUGUCAGUUACCCACAUACAUGUCUCUUUCAGCCAAGUAGGAUGUCAGUUCCCAGGGAACUUAAAACUUUAUUCAACCCCUACUCAAAAUGGAAGUUUUACUCUAAAUGGCUUCUAAUAUUGGUUUAGGUGUCUCUCUUAUAUUGGGGUCCAUCCCAGAGGCAGCUUAUGAAGACAAAGCCAUACAAGCUCAUACAUAGGGGCAGGAAGUGCUGCUGGGCGGUCGAUUCCGGUCCAAGCUUACUGUGGCUAACUACACAAGGCAGUUCUAACUGACUUCUCUUGUGAUUAGUUCCCCAAACGCCAAAGCACAGCACAUCACAGAGUAUGCAAUCAUCUCUGGCAUGAAAAGGUUUCACACUAACCGUAAUAUCAGUGUAAAACGGCUGGCUAGGCAGGUAGCAGCUACCCAGGGAUUUAGCUCAGUGGUAGAGCGCUUACCUAGGAAGCGCAAGGCCCUGGGUUCGGUCCCCAGCUCCGGAAAAAAAAGAACCAAAAAAAAAAAAAAAAAAAAAAAAAAAAAGCCUGAUCAUUGUCUUGGAGUGAAUGACACGGCUCCUCUGCCCUGUCUUCAGGCCCUGAGGUUCACAUUUCUUGUCUUCCGGCCCCGAGGUUUUCUUUUCUGACCCUCUCUCCCUGAGGCUUUUUUUAUCCACUGAGCUCUUCCUUUGUAGCUUCAGUUCAGUUUGGGUUCUUCUCUCCACCUUUUCCUGCCUCUUCACUGAACUCUGUGUUCACACCCUGAGUUGACCUCUUUAUUUAAUUUAUCGGUUUGUCUGUGUUUUCUUGAGCUCCAGUCAGGCUAUCCAGUCCUCCUUUUUCAGCUCACGCCAAGCGUUUCUGUGUAUUUUCUUUGAAUUCUUUGAACACUUCCGGCGUGUUGAUAAUUGUUCUUUUUUACGUUCUGCGUCUUGAAUUUCGUCGAAGUUGUUUUACUCAGCAGAAUGUCACCGUCUGUACUGCUGAUUGGAUCGGGGCCAGGUUGCCAGCCACGGGUAAUGAGGACACUUACAAAGCCCUAGGAAAGGUCUGCAUGGAAUGACCUGGGGCUUCACACCAAAUACGUGAGUGCUCCAUCUUGAAAAUAGACCAUCGGUCCCAGUCAAGCCUUGGGUGACCCAAGCCUUGGGUGACCGAGGUCUGAUGAGACAGACCCUCAGCACCCUGCGUGACCUGGGGCGGAGUUCUGCAGCGGGGUUGCUACUGAACGUUCACUCAAAGGUGCAGAGAGGUGAUAUACAGUGCUGUGCUACAGUGAGGGGUUUUCGGGGUAAACGUACGGAGCAGCGAUGCACCGUGGUAUAAGGCAAGAGACUGCACCUACUCCCACCAAAUUCAGGGGCUGGAGGUGUCUAUGCACCAACACCGCAUGUCACCGGAGAAAGGCUGUUCGCACGGCUUGUCCCCCAGCCCUUCCUUGUGAGUAUCAAGGGCUCCCGUGGUCUUUGUCCUUUAGACAAAGAGGGACAGGGGCCCUGGGUACCAAAAAGGUAAACUGAGGGCUGAAUGGAGGGAUGCCCACAACCGAACUCACUUCUACACCCCACACCUGACCCUUGCCCAGGCAAGCUGGGACUGCCUCUCUAUCUUCAGGGCUGUUCCUCUAGGACGCUGUCCCCGGAAGAGGAAGAGGUAGAGGAAGAGGAAGAGGACCUCUGGUUCAACAAUGGCGGCUGUCUGCGAAGCUCCCUUAGCCGGGUGUGGGUGCCUCAUGGAUGUCGGUAGUGAGAUCUGGAUGCUGUUCAUAAACUCGUGACCGAGUUUACUGGUUAGACCUCCUUACAGGGAGGUCUCAAGGUCCCUGUGGUAACUCCCUGAAGGAUGCUGAUGUCCUCCACCUCCAUUCAGCCUUGUGAAUUCUUCCCCACAACCCCCUUUGCCUGAUGAGCAGCCCAGCUGGGUGAAAGUUCAGGAAAGGCAGUUCAAGUGUGACAGCUUCUGGACAUGUCCUCUUGACCUUCUUGGGGCUCCUGUCACUGGUUUCCCUAUCCAGUGGUAGCACAGGCUAUGCUGUGCUGGUUUCUUUAUUCAGUGGUAGCACAGGCUAUGCUGUGUUUUCUGGCAGGUGCUCCUUUGCUAAGCACAGCCCCUCCUUGGAAGGGCACAUAGCAUCUCUGGGGUGGGGGAAGCAUCCGGGUUAUAGUCUUAUGGGAAUCCCAUAGUGUCUCACUGUGUAGUCCAGGCUGGUCUUGAACUUUUUGUCCUCUUGCCUCAGCCUUUCAGGCACUGGGAGCAGAGGCAGGCAACACCAUGACUUGGUUGGAAUCUCAGAUCUUAACCACUGACUCCUGGGCCCUUCUCGCUUUGGUCUGAGAUCACCAGCUGACUGCUGAUAAGGGAGGCUGAGGGGGAGAAGGUGCGGACGGACUGCUCACCGAUGUCCUCAGUGGUCCCGUUUGCUAAGGGUAUGUGCCGAGUCCAUGACCACACAGAUGGAGUAAAACGCCCUUUAAGGGCCACAUAACGCACGGACAGCAACGGAGAAAAUGGGAUGUUACAAAUCCCAGUUGGGCCUUUCCUGGACCUAUGUUAGAAAAAGCCAGCCAACAAAAGCCCUUCCAUCUAUAAAGAUCUGAGGUCAGCUCUCCAUGCCCCUGGCAGCUGCUCCGAGAAACCCCUCCAGCCUCCCCACUGAGCACCUAGACUCUCCCACGGAGCACCUGGCUGCCAUACCUUUCUUCAUUCUUCUGACCUGUUGUCUUCUAGGAAGGCCAAGAGAAAAGGCAGUUGUGGGGCUGGCUGCCCAGGCUCAAAGCUUCUGGCUCUGAAUAAGUGAUUUAACUCUAUCUUGUAGAUGCGGGGAACACAGGCAUUCUUGGGGCUGUGACUCAGCAAACUUGAAUGUUUCUUAGAAAUGAAGACCAGAAGGUAAGUUUUUAGUUACUUUGUUUUAUGGGGGAGGAGUGUGAGGGAGAGACCAGCCUGCAUGUUUCUUAGAAGACCAGAAGGUAAGUUUUUGGUUACUUUGUUCUAUUGGGGGAGGAGCAUGAGAGAGAGACAGGCCCUGUCUAGGCAGAUGCGAAAUCUACCAAGGUUUAAGAGGUGACACAGCUUUGUCCAGAUGCUCUUGGUUCUGGACAGUCAAUGCCAGUUUUCAGUGCCAGGUCUCCUGGGCCAGGGUGGGUUUUAGAGCCUUCCAGAGGCCCACUUAUCAAGCAACCAAGCUCUUUCCCGGCAGCCCUAACAUGGAGUUAACCCUCUAAGAGACCCAGGGCAGCCUCUAUGAGCCAGCCAGAAUCUGCUCCACACCCCCCGAACUUUAUUACCCCCUCUCCCCAAAUUUAUAGCUGUGUGUCUGGCCCCAGCACCCACAAGCAGCUUAGAAAUUCCUUCUCAUCAGCUGAGAGGAUCUCCCAGGUUCCUUCCUCCGGCAGGUGGCUGAGAGGCAACAUCAUUUAUUUGCCAUUUAAAAUGCAGACAUGUCAUUAAAGAAUGUGUUCCGAUGGCUGCGAAGUCCAUCAGCAAUGAACGGGCACUGAUAACAAAGGUCUCAGGGCAGAAGACAGCUGAGGGUCUCCGUGAGAAAGCGAGCCAUCACUCAUUCCUCUUUGUGAGUUUAAGGUCCAUGCCUGUUUGCAUUGACUUACAUUUUUUGCUCAAUGCUUAUUUUCUGAUGGUCCUGCCCAGUUCUUCAAUGAUAAAGAUGUGCUUCAAGGGGGAGCCCUUCUAUGGUGGUUUGAAGAGGAGUGCUCCCAUAGAUUUGUGUGUUUGAAUGCUUGGCCCACACUCUUAAGAGGCGUGGCCUUGUUGGAGGAAGUGUGUCACUACAGGGGUGGGCUUUGAGGUUUCCUAUGACCAAGCCCAGUGUGGUACACAGUAUCCUUCUGCUGAACAAGAUGUAGAACUCUCAGCUCCUUCCCUAGCACCAUGUCUGCUUUUGUGCCACUAUGUUUUCCACCAUGACAAUAAUGAACUAAACCUCUGAACUGUAAGCCAGCCCCAGUGAAAUGUUUUCCUUUAUAAGAGUUGCCACGGUCAUGGUAUCUGCUCAAAGCAAUAGAAACCCUAACUAAGAUACCUUUUAAGUUUGGUAUCCCCUCACAGCAAUAGAAACACUAAGAUGCCUUCUAAGCCCAUUGUGGUGGUUGAAUAAAAAUGGCCCCCACAGGCUCCUAGGGAGUGGCACUAUUAGGAGGUGUGGCCUUGUUAGAAGUAUCAAUGGGGGCUGGCUUUGAGAUCUUAGAUGCUCAAGCCAUGCCCAAUGUGCCAUUCUCUUCCUGCUGCCUCUGAUCCAGAUGUGAGCUCUCAGCUCCUUCUCCAGAACCACGUCUUCCUGCAUGCUGACAUGUUUCCUAUCUUGAUGACAAUGGACUGAGCCUCUGAACUGCAAGCCAGCCUCAAUGAAAUGAUUUCCUUUAUCAGAGUUGCUGUGGUCAUGGUGUCUGUUCACAGCGAUAGAAACCCUAAGCCGUGUAUAUGUCUUACUAUUUGGGACGAAGGAAAAGGUGACCAGAGAGGCUGCAGUGUGUCUGUGACUGCCAUUGAUCAUCAGCUCGGUCUCCAUGCAACCAUCAAUAGCUGUCUGCAGCACACCGGAGGGGCUGUGAACCUGGUAGCUUAGCCCAUGAGGUACCUCAGAAGUCACAAUCUGGUGCUGAGGGCUUGGAGGAUUCCUAAAGAGCUGCUGGUCCUCAGUCUAUGUCAGAAGGCAGAGGGAACUGUAGUUGGAUGUCCCUGAAGGAUGGCAGGAGUGUCCACAGUGUCAGAAUGGAUGCACAUGCCAGCAAGGAGCGAAAGCAGGCAGGCAAAGGCACCACCAUCUUUCCCAACACUGCUUUAUAACUGGUCACUACAGGAAGGUGUCACGGUGCCACUCACUCUGGAGGAGGGUCUUCUCCUCACAGACCCAUGCCCAGGCAUGUCUCUUAGUUGAUUCCAGAUCCAAUCAAGUUUACAAGUCAAGGUUGGCCAUCAGAGGGUGUCGCCUCCCCUACAGUAGGGCACAUUGUCCAUAGGGAUUGCUCAAACCUGUUGGCUUAAGGCAGGAGUCACAGGGCACAAGCUCCAGCCUGGGAGGGUGAUGCCUUCUUCCUGCUGGAGUUGCUUGUCCCCCUGCAGAGCAGAUUCUGGUGCUGUGGAUGAUCUCUCCCUCCACUUGGGCAUAAUUACAAGACAGUACCAGGCUAGAAGAUGACCACCUUUUCGUGGUUCCCUUAACAUCUCAGUGUCUACUGGUGUCAGGUUCUCUCCUCCAAGGGGCGGAUGCGGAAGUGGGGGUGGAAUUGUGUUCAAUGGCAUGGAGAAGGAGAAAACAUCUGAGAAUACACUCGAAUAGGCUCGAGGAGAGCGCAUGGAUCCCGCGGCUCCUUUGGUGUGCGUGCGUGCGUGCGUGCGUGCGUGCGUGCGUGCGUGCGUGGAGACCUCUGGGGUGAGGGCUGGGGAAACUGAAGAAGAGAGGAAGGUGGGGAGGAGAGGGAGGCUUCUGAAGCUGGUGGUUAGAGAGUCCUUGUGGCCAGCUGAGGGGAUGUAAAAUGUGCAGAGAUGCAACAGUAGGGAGCAGGACAAAUUAGCAAGACCCGUGCUGCUCAGCCCCUAAGCACCCCAUUUCUGGGAGAGAGAGAACUCCCAUCUCCCCCAUACCCAUCCCAUCUCCUCACCCUGCUGCUUCCCUGGUCCCUCUCCAGGUCGGAAAGCCCUGCUGGGAGGGCGUGGCUGUGAGGAUGCUUCCAAGACUGCCUCUCUGCUCAGAGGGCAGGAGAGGUCCUAAUGACAUCAGGGCGGAAAUAGGUUAGACUGAGAGAAGAACCAAGCAGGACUCCUGUAGGAGCCGAAAUUGGUUGCCAAGGCAACGCACUGACUCUUUCCCUGGAGGAAUUUUAAAAUAGGUCACUUUUUCUUUUUCUGGGAGGUUGAGAGUCCUACCCGUGAUGAGGGAGCCCGCACAGGACUCAGCAAGGGAGGUCAGACAGAGGCAAGUUAUGGAAGUCACAGAUGGCCAUCAGUAAAGCGACGCUGACUUUCCCUGGCAGUGUCACUGGCACAGCCGGGAAGCACAUGGGGUGAUGGACUGAGCUCUGCUGUGGGAGCCUUUGGGUGUGGUUUUUUUCUAAAGGAUUGUAAAUUACAUUUCUGUUUAUUUAGUGUGUGGUCUCGUCCCACAGAGUAAGUGUAGAGGUCAGAGGACAUCUUGUAGAAGCUGGUUUUUCUUCCACCGUCUGGGACUUGGGAUGUCAGGAUGGCCUUUACCCACUGACCCUGGGGAUGUGGUUCCUCCCCUGUCUUACCACCUGGGGACCCAUCCUCCUUCCCAGCAAGUGUGGGGGUGGGGCUCAGAAUGGCUUCCAAAGUUGCCUGAGAGGCACUUCCUAAGCAUCCUUUCCGUCUGGGCAUUCUUUUUCUGUACGGUUGAAUGUUCUCACAAUUUCUACACAAACACCCUCCCACUAAAUGACACCCAGCUGCAAGCUCCUCGGGACUCUGGUUCCAGCCUUGACGCCCUGAUCUGCUGCUUAUGAUGAGGCUCCUGAGAGUUGUGUAGUCUUGGUUUUUAACCUAUACAACCUGGGGAGCAAGAACUGGGUCAUGGCUCCAGUGGUGAAGUUCUUGCCGGACAAGCAUGAGGUUUUGGGUUCAAGUCCCAGAACCUUCAUAGAAAGCCAGGCAUAGAGACACACGGUGUAAGCCCAGCUUUGAGCAGGCAGGACCAGGCAGUUCUGUGGUGCUUGGUGGCGAGUCAGGCUAGCGAAUGAGUGAGUCCCAGGCCAGGGAGAGGCCCUGUCUCCAAUAAUAAAAAGGAUGAACAGUUUCUGAGGUUGACUUUUGGUUGUCACACGUGUGUGCACAUACAUGUCCACAAUAAGCUGCACACACACGCAUGUGUAUCUUGCUCCAUGUGCACCGCCCCCCCCCAUGAACAUACAUGUAGUGUUUUGGAUGAAAAUGGUCCCCAUAGGUUAACAGAGUAGCACUAUCAGGAGAUGUGGCCUUGUUGGAGUAGGUGUGGCUUUGUGAAGGAAAUGCAUCACUUUGGGGUGGGCUUGAGGUUUCGGUAGCUCAAGCCAGGCCCAGUGUUGCUAUCUCUUCUUGCUGCCUGUGGAACACUCAGCUACCUCUCCAGCACCAUGCCUGACUGCUCACUGCCAUGCUUCCCGCCAUGAUGAUAAUGGACUGAACCUUUGAACCUGUAAGCCAGCUCCCAUAAAAUGUUUUUCUAUAUAAGAGUUGCUGUGGUCCUGGUGUUUCUUCACUGUACUAGAAACCUUCACUAAGACCACACACACACACACACACACACACACACACACACACAGAGACAGAGAGACAGAGAGAGACAGAUAGACAGAGACAGAGUGACAGAAAGAGACAGAGACAGAGAGGGACAGAGACAGAGAAACAGAGAGACACAGAGAGAGACAGAGACAGAGUGUCAGAGAGACAGAGACAGAGAGAAAGAGACCCCAGGGGCUUGCCACCCCUGGAAGUGAAGCAGAGAAGCUGCUGAGGUACAUACAUGCUGUACAUGCUGUCCAGCCUUGUGGCCCACACAGAAAUGUCUGAUCUGGGUGUCAGACACUUUUGAGGAUCUGGUCCUGUGGCAGGCACCUCUUUAGCAGAUAUCAUUCCAAAGUUUCACCUCAUGCAAAUGCCCUCUUCUUCUCUUGCAACCGUCUCCUUCUGCCUCCAAACUGUACUCUCUGCUUGUGUCCUGUGGUUAGCAUCUGUCUCUAUGGCAAGAGCGAGGGUCAGGUAUGAGGAGAUGGCUCAGCCCAGGAAGCGCUGUAUCCCCAGGACCAUGCCAAUAGCAGAUGGACGUGGUAACGCAUGUCCACAAUGAUGAGUCAGGCGAGGCCCCUGCCUCACAAUAUAGGGUGGAGGUUAAUCAGGGAAAACACCAGCACCAAUCUAUGUUCUCCACACACAUCUGCACAUGUGCGCCCAUCCACGUGUGAGCACGAACACACACAGAAACACAUAAAAGAGGUCAAAGGUCCUACCUGCCACAUUCCCAUGGUUUCCUAGCGCCUGGCACUCAGUGUGGCUUCAGUCCAUGUUGAAUGAACAGCGAGCGAGCGUGGAGAGGGUUGGUAGCUGCACACAAUAUGGCUUCAGUCGAUGUUUGUUGAAUGAGCAGUGAGCGAGCACGGAACGGGGUAGUUGCACAUCUUUGUUUAAUAAGACAUUGGGGAAAGGAAGCUAUUGCUGUCCAAUAAAUUUAAUUUUCCUGGGAGGAAAGAGUUCUUUGCAAGCAGGAGCCCAUUGAUGCUUAUCAAUAAUUGAGCAGGCCUGAGUGCUGGAAUGUGUAGUUUCUGCAGCCAGUUUCUGGCUGGGGUUCACUUCAGUUCUAUCCACACCUGCUGCUUCCUCCCACUGAGUCCCACAGCACAGGCUCCAACAACACAUCUGUGUGGCUUGAGGUUCCUGGCAGGAUUCAGUCCCAGUCUACCGCUGGGCCAGGAAGAUGGAUCAGUCGGUAGAGUGUUUGCCUUGCAAGCCUGAGGAUAUGAGUUGGGUGCCCAGAACCUGUGUAAAACCAAAUGCAGGGUCAAGCCUGAUUACCUGGGUUCAAUUCCUGGGACCCACAUGAGGAAAGAAGAGAACUGGCUGCCAUAAGUUGUCCUCUGAUCCCCAAAUGCACAUGGUGACACAUACAUACAGAGGCACACAUGCACACACGCUCACACACACGUUUGUGCACCCACACACACACACACACACACACACACACACAUUAAACAAAUAAAAGUGUAAUGAAAUUAAAUCAGCAGUGCCCCUAAGCUCAUGCGUGCUUAUAAUUCCUGGAGUCAGAAGGAUCCCAGAGUUUGAUUGACAGCUAGUCAAGCUUAAUUAGCAAGUCCCAGGUCCUGGUGAGUGACAAAAAAAGUGGAUAGUCUCUAUAGAAUAACAGCUGAGGCUGACUUCUGUCCUCUGACCUCUGACCCUCUCCCCCUCCCCACCCUCUCUCUCAUACACACACCUAUUCCUACCUGUCAUCCUCAUCCUCAGGUCUGUAUAGUGUGCGUCUUCCCGUACAGCUGUGAGCAUGCUUGCCUCUUACGUAAUCUGCUUGUUCCCUCUGGGGACCUGGGUACAGUGAAAGCCACAUCCUACCUCUGUCUAUGCACGCGUAUGCACACAGGCAGGCAUGCAUGUGUAUUAAUAUGGAUGAAGCCCACAUACAGCAUCGAGCAGACAGGCUUAGGAAGAGGAGACGGGCGCCGAUGCAAGAGUCAGUGAGUCCAGAAGCAAACACACAGCUGACCACCGCAAGCCCCUCUUCCAUCAAGUGGCUGGAGCCAAAGUUCUCAUGCUGUGAGUUGUGAUUCCUCGUGGGGUCUUUAACGGCAAUGGAGAGUCAUAGAAUACUUGCCAACAGUAAAAGAUAUUGAAGAUGCAGUAUCUAAAAAUUAAAAAUCAAGUGUGUAAAGAAUCUGGGGUGGUUCUCCGGUCUCUUACCCAUGUGGCCUCACAAAACUUCACUGCAGCAUUGGUUGUGAGCACACGGCAUCCACAUUCUUCAGUGCAUAAGCCAACAUACCAGCGAACAUGAAAAGCACUGCCCCAAACACUUCUGCUCAGAUUUCAGACUAUCACACACACACACAUACACACAUAUAUGUACACACAUGUGCAUACAUACAUGCACACACAUCUAUGUACACACAUGCACACAUGUACACACACGCACAUGUAUACAUAUACAUGCAUGCACAUAUACACAUACACACAUAUAUACACACAUAUACAUAUACAUAUACACACAAAUAUAUACAUAUGCAUACACACAUGUAUAGACAUAUGUGCACACACAUGUCUCUAUAUUCCUGUUUUUAUAAAAAUCUAAUGGGCUAACUAGAGGAAGCAAAGGCGUUUGAUGUCUUCCUCCCACAAGCCAGCUAUGCAGGUAUCAACUUAGCUCAUCUUUGGAUUGUAUUGUGUUAGACAAAUAAUUAAACCUGCAAGCUUCAGAGGACUCAGCUCUCCUAGUUCUGCCUCUGUCUUGCCAUAGGCCAGCUGGGAUUACCGAUGCAGGCUUUUCUCAUGGAUCCUGGGGAUCCAAACCCAAGUCCUUAUACUUGUGUGGCAAGCCCUUCACCCACUGAGUCAUCUUCUAGCCCUGAUAAUGUGGUCUGUAAUAAAACUCACAGUAGCGUCACGCCACAGCAGCUGUUGGACUCAUGGGUGUGCAGCCAGAAUCUGAUGCCCUUCUCAAUCAAGUUUUCCCAGUCACCUCAACACGAGGCAUGGGAACAUGUCGGCCCUCAGCUCUCAUCCAUCCUUACUGCCAUAGCUCUCUCCUGCCCAGCCCAAAUGGGACCUCUUUCUUGACUCAGUUCCUGAAGCCUGUGGUCUGCCACCUCUGUGUUAUUUUCUCUUGAGACUCUCUUUCCCGAAGGACACUAUUGCCCCUCACCCAAGACACAGACUGACUCCUAGUUAGGAGAAGUCACAUGACCUAGGCAUGAACUUCCUUUUAUCUUAGUACUUGCUGGAAAGGUAGAGAACAGGAAACUGCCCAGAUUAAGGAAAAGGUGUUUUAUUUUAAGAAGUCUGGGGGUGGGGUUGGAGAGAGAUUCAGCAGGUAAGAGCACAGACACCUCUUGUGGAAACCUGAGCUUGGUUCCUGGCUCUUGCCAGAGAGCUUGAAAUCAUCAAAACUCUAGCUUUAGGGAAGUUUCUCUUCUGGUCUCCAUGGACACUGCACUUGUGAAUAUAGCUGCACACAGACACACAUGCAUGCAUACAGCUGCACACAGACACACAUGCAUGCACACAGCUGCACACAGACACACAUGCAUGCACACAGCUGCACACAGACACACAUGCAUGCACACAGCUGCACACAGACAACACAUGUGUGCACAUUUGGACCUUGCGGUUCUUGCUUUCCUAUGUGAUCUUGGCCAUCUGCUCACUCAGGCUCACAGUCAGCCAUCAUGGCCGCUCUUGAAGGGGUUCUUUCCGAUAUCAGGUGCUGUGAUUCAGCAACCUCCAGGAUGACAACCCUGCAGAACGGCCUAAGCAGCUGUGCCUGCUCCAGUCACCUGUGACUGAAGGUAAAACAUUAUCCUGUGUGCUGAGAACAUGAGUGGGUCGAUUCCCCCAGGCUGGAGUGUGAAAGAAAAACCAUAGCGUGUACCGAGAACUUCUGCAAAGCCAAGGCACAUCCACUCUAUGGUUAAAGGGCAUUAAUGGGUGGGAUGAGAGACAUCAGCGUUCAGAUCCCUGUGGUUCCACAGGAGGCAGCUUUGCUUUCCAUGUUUGUUGAUGCCUUUUAUUGGCAAGGCAUUUAUUUAUCCUGUGUUGGAGACACCCAACAACUUGAUGCGAUCUCAUUUGGAUUUUAAUUAGAAUAUUAAUCAGCUACAUGCUACACCGUUUUGGCCAAAAAAAAAAAAAAAAAAACCCUAGCAAGGCAGUGUACUAAAAUCACAAGGAACAGAGCCAAUUUAAUUUGUUUUAGAUAUUUUGCCCCAGGUUAACAUUAGGAACUUAUUACGGCAUGUCCUGUGGAGAAAUUAUUAUUAUAAAUGUGCAUAUUGUGCAAAUUAAAAUCAUAUUUCAUUCACGGGAAAGCUUCCCUGACUGCAUCAGUUUUAGUGACCGUGUCUCUGGUCGCAAGGGAUGUGAGUAGCCUUAGCACACCUCAGAACAGAUCCAGCAAGGCCACUGCUUCUAGGACACCAAGGUGUGCGGGCUGUGUGUGUGUGUGUGUGUGUGUGUGUGUGUGUGUGUACUUAUAUGUGCAUGUGUGUGCAUGUGUGCAUGCAUGCGUGUGCAUGUGUGUGCAUAUGUGUGUGUGUGUGUGCGUGUGUGUGCGUGUGUGUGUCUUUAAUGAUUGACUGGCUUGAGGACACAGAAGACAACUGGGUGAUGGUUGUGUUUGUGGCCUCACUCAAAGCGCUUCAGGAAUGUAUUAACUAAUACCAGAAGGAGAAGGAUGCUAAGCUACACUUGGUGGGAGUUCCUAGUUUUGGCUAGCCAUCUGGAAAGGCUGCCUGGAGGGCAGGACAUGUGAGCCAGGGUCUGACGAUGGAGCAGGAGGAGUUCAAUGAGGCAGGACAAUAUGAGGAAAGACUGUGUGGGGCAUGGCAGGGGUUGGGGGUGUUUCAGCAUGGCUGCAUCAUACAGGGUGGGCUGGGAGUUGGCAGGAGUAGACCAGGAGUGCUGGGGUGGAGCCUUGUGUUGGAGAAUUUAGCACUGAACUAAGAAACUGAUCUAACCCCAUGGUAACAAAUGUGAACCUCAUAACAAUGAGCAGUAGGGCUCUGCUGGAGCAGAGAAUGAUGGGAUAUUUUACAUUUUAGCAAGAAUCAGCUGGCUAAGAACAUGGGUUAGAAGGAAGCAGAGAUAUUAGUCAGCCAGAACAUAGGCAAGCGAAGAUGAUGCCAACACAAGAUGGAGGAGUCCCAAAGCCAGCAAGGUCCUUGAGCGGGGCUUCUGUUGACAAUUCCAGGAGAACAUGGCCGCCGGUCCCCAAGGCUGUUGAUGCAGACCUCUGCCCUCUGCCCUCUGCCCUCUGCCCUCUGCCCUCUGCCCUCCUCCCUAGGGCCUAACAGCCACAGGUUUUAGGAACUUGGUACUCCCAUUCUCGCCUUUUGUUUUUGAAUCAGAAACUAUCUUUAACUUUAAAAGAAUUAUAUGUUGUAUCAGCUGGUACUCUGCAGAGUGCUGGUUCUAUUUUAUUUUAAAAACUUUAUCUUUAAUUUCCAUGUACCUCUAUCUGUGUGCAUGCAUUUAUACAUGAAUGCAGCGCCUGCCUGCAGAGGCUAGAAGGACGUGGAGAUGCCCUGGAAAUGGCAUUACAGGUGGUUGUGCGCUGCCUGAGGGUAAUGGGGAUUGCACUCUGUCCCUUCCAAGAGCAGUGUAUGGCUUAACGGAGCCAUCUCUCUAGCAUUUACCGAUCCGUGAGAAGGGUUCAAGGGCAAUUCAACGGAGAAGGGGUCAGAUCAUGUUUUCAGCAAAUGGUUUUAGAAGAAUUAGUUAACUAUAAGCACUCAGUAACAGCACCAAACCGAACCAAAGCAGAACAAAGCAGAAAUCUUAGCUUUACCUUAUAUAUAGAGAACAGAAUAGCUAGUCCCUUGUCCCUUCAGAGAGCUUAGUGCAUAAAAUCACCACCACACCUAAUCAGCCGAGUUAGAUUCCAGAACCUCCAUGGUGGUAGGAGAGAACCUCGUCCUGAAUUUUCCCUGUGUCUUCCAAGUUCCAAGGCAUGUAUGCUCAUGUACACACACACAUACACAUGCACACAGACACAAAGAGACACACAGACACACACAGAGAAAGACACACACAGACACAGACAAACACACAGACUCAUACACACACACACUCAGAGAGAGAGAGAGAGAGAGAGAGAGAGAGAGAGAGAAAGGAGUAAUAAGUAAAAUGUAAUACAAAUUUUUAAAAUGAUCCUUGCCUGUCAGUUGGGACCUAUGAUCUUGUCCAAAGUGAUGAAAUAUACAGCAUGCUCAUAAAGAAAAAAGGGAAAACCCAAUAAAAAGGACAGCAUCAAAAUGUAAACUGCUACUCUGUGAAAGACCGUGUUAAAAGGACAGAAGACAGCUGUACACUUAAGGAAAAUACUUUCAGGACACAUAUGUGACAAGAGACUAAUACCAAAACCUGUAAGAACCAACAGUGAAUAGUGCAGGCAAAACACCCAUGUGCAUAAAACAAAAUAAACACAUAAUUGAAUGAGAAGAAGUAACCAGGACGGUUUGCGAUGAACGGCUGACAAACCUGGAGUGUGUAUAAACCUCAGAACGUAACUCAUCAAUACAGAGAGACAGAGAAGCACCAGGCAUGGUGGUACACACCUGCCAUCUCAGCACUUGGGAGGUGGAGGCAGAGGGAUCAAUUCCUCAAGGUCACCCUCAGCUACAGAGCAAGCGUGAGGCUAGCUAGCGCUCCUCUCAUGAGACCCUAUUUCUAAAUCAAAGCAACCCCCACUGCUCCCCACGUAAGAUUAAUUAAUUACCUCCACUCACUACUUCCAUUGAUUUCAAGGACAUUAGUGGACCAAAAGGCCAUAUAGUAAUUUCAUUUAUGUGAUGUGCUUGACCAAAUUACAGGGGUGGAGAAGGGAUCAGUGGUGGCCCAGCCUUGGGAUGGUGAGCUGGAGGGUGGGGGGAUUUUGAGGGAUUAUCAAGAGGGAGGGUCUCUGCGGAGAGGGGACAAUGCUAUGCUGACUGUGGUGGUAGGUGCAAAAAUUCAUAACUUUGACUAAAUGACACAGACAUGUCGUCCACACUGUGUGCCAGCGUCCUGGCUUUGACAUUACCAGAGUGACACAGGGAGUAACCGUUAGGGGAAAAUGGCUGAAAGUUUUAUGGGAGCUCACUGUAUGUUCUUUGUGAGUUUUCUCUCUCUCUUUUUUUUUUUUUUUUUUUUUGAGCUGGGGACCGAACCCAGGGCCUUGUGCUUGCUAGGCAAGCACUGUACCACUGAGCUAAAUCCCCAACCCUCUUUGUGAGUUUUGAUGGAUAUUUUUUGAAUAAAAGCUAGAAAAAUAUGAACAAGGGUAAAAUAAGUUUUUUGUAAGUUCACAGUGAUGCUGUUGAUUUAAAUUUAGGAUUGCAGAUUAAAGUUCACAGUUUAUAUAUACUUUACUCCCCAUACACUGAACACUGAGAUUUUCAAUGACCUCACCAUAAGUCCUCCCCCUCUUCUUCCUCCACCUCCUUCUCCACAUCCAUCCCCUCCUCCUCCACUUUCCCCUCCUCCCCCCAUCCUCCUCUUUCUCCUUCUUUUUGAGACAGAGUCUCAUGUAUCUCUGACUGCCUGAAACUCACUGUGUAGCUGAGGAUGACCUUGAACUCCUGAUUUGCUUGCCUCCACCUCCUGAGUGCUGUACUCCCUGUGGCCAGUUUUAUGCAGAGUUGGGAGUAAAACCUGGCUUUGUGCAUGCUAGGCAAUUCUACCCCGCUGAGUCCCAGUCAUGACCCUGGACCUGUCACACUUUUUUUCAAUCCAUCUUCCCUAGGAAGUGAAUGUUACUUAGUUAAUCUAACAGAUUUAGGAAGGUUAAGCCCCUACCCCCACAUACUAUGAUUAAUAAGUGCAGAGAUAGAUUUAAGAUUUAAAUGUUGGUCUGUAGAAUACUCUGGAAGGUGAUAGAAUAAAGCUAUUUUUCCUUUCAAAAAAAAUGAGUACAAGUUAACAGAGAGUCCAAGACGGAGAAAACUGGGAAACAUCUGGAGCCCUGAAACACAAGAUGGAGGGAGUAGGCAGAAGGCGCUUGGGGCUCUGCUGAGACAAUGGAGCUUGAAACCAAGGAGUGGUGAGGGGUGUGUGUGUGUGUGUUUAUGUACAUGUGUGUGUGUAUGUGUGUGUUCAUGUAUAUAUGCAAUGCACAUGUAUUUAUGCACGUGUGUUUUGUACACGUGUGAACGUGUGUGUUUAUGUACACAUGUGUACAUGUUGUUUAUGUUUGUGCAUGUGUACUUAUAUCUGUUCACAUAUGUGUGUAUGUGUUUAUGCAUAUGUGUUUAUGUAUUUGUGCUUAUAUCUAUAUAAUGUAUUUAUGUGUGCUUAUUGUAUGUAUUGUGCAUGUGUGUCUAUGUCUCUGUGUAUACUUGUGUGUGUGCAAGUCUGUGUAUGUAUGUAUGCAUAUAUGUGUAUGCUUGUGUGUGUGCACGUGUGUGUGUGCAUGUGCAUGUGCAUGUGCAUGUGCGUGUGCAGGUUUUGCUGGCCUCAUGUCUGUCAUGCAUGAAAGGCUCAGCUCUGUGAACCCAGCAGCUCCGGGGGCUGGCACGGUGGAAUGCUGGAGAAAGUCAGAUAAAUGGUACAAUGUGGUCAUGGAUAAGAGAAGGCUGGUCCAAGCUGGCUGAGGCUGCGCGACAAGUGGGGUCAUUCUCCUUUCUCUUUGGUUUGUUUGAAAAUUUCAGAAACGACAAAAUAAAACUGUACAAACUUUGCUAUUAGUUAUGGAAGCAUGAUUUUACACUUGGCUCUUUUUUCUUUCUCUGAUACCAAGAAUUACAACUAGGACCUCGCUCCUGUUCAUCACAUGCUAUACCAUUGAACUUCAUCUCCCUCAGGUUUUGACCUUGGAAGCUGCUUAGUGGAAUACCUUGAUGGCAGAGCAGGAAAACAGCCGAUUCCUACACUACCACGCGUGCUCUCUUGGGCCAUGCAAGGUACCCUGGUGUCCCAGACAACCUGGAGGAUUUGGGGAUCGUUUUUCAACCUCUGUGGGCUUCAGUCUUUAUCUGAGAUGUGAGAUUGAGGAUUGGAGGCUGAAUCCUGUAUCAUUUGGAUAUAGUGGAGCUGGGCUUGUAUAUGGCCGUGCACAGGGACAAGGCUGGGGAUGGGUCGCACCUAGAACAUUUCAUGAAGGCUGAUUGGCCCAGGCUUCCUUCUCUGGUUCUUGGAUUUCUCUUCAGCCAAUUUGGAAGGCAACACACACACACUGCAGGGAAGAUUAUGUCCAACAGAAGCAGUAGUUGACUUACUGGAGGCGCUUUGCAGGGACUGAGUGUCUGCCACUGGUGACAGUGACUAAUGAAACAGCCCGGUGGACUGCAGUGGCUGCGGGCCGGGACGGCCGAUCCACAUCCACCCAGCGUAAAAUCGAAGGCUCCAAUUUAGCCUGCUGAACAAACAUAUUUAUGGAGGCUUAUUGAACACAAAAUUAAUUUAGGGGGCAUUAAUCUGCAGAGGGCUGGACUGGCAGCUACCGCGGGGGUACUUAAUGGAUGGCGGUAACAAAAUAAGGCAAGCUGCCACGAUCCUUUCUUCAAAUGAGGAAAUAUGAGUUCCCUCAGCGCACUGUGGACUCGGGGCCUUUCUCUAGAAUCAUUCAGCCUCCAGAUAGAACUAGGGGACAGAGGAGAGUCCUGAAGGAAGUAGGUCCUCAUGUCAGGCUUGGCCUCGAGAAGACAUUAGCUGCUGAGGGAUGCCUUCUCCCCUCGCUCUGGCUUCUCUGCUGUGCACUCUGGGGGAUCGGUUGCCUAACUCUCCAUCUGCAUGUGCAGACCAACACCUGGAGCACCGAGCAGAAUGUUAAAAUAACAGACUCGGGCUGUAGAGAUGGCUCAGCUGUUAAGAGCACUGACUGCUCUUCCAGAGGUUCUGAGUUCAAUUCCCAGCACCCACAUGGUGGCUCACAACCAUCUGUAGCGAGAUCCGAUGCCCUCUUCUGGUGUGUCUGAAGACAGCUACAGUGUACUCAUAUAUAAUAAAUAAAUCUUUAAAAAAACAAAAAACAAACAAACAAAAAAAACCGAAAGAAACACAGAAUCUCACUUCCAGCCCUAGAUGGGUUUAGCAGGGGAUGUAUUGUGACCGGGACUCCAGCUGACGUCUGUGUGUGCAGGUGCUCUAGUGUAUUUGUGUAAGUGUGUGAGCACACGCGCAUGCAUCCACACGGAAGCCAGAGGCUGACCUCAGGUGUUGUUCCUCAGGCACUGUCUGGUCUGUAUGGAUUUUUGAGGCAGGGUCUUUUCACUGGGACUUGAGGUUGAUAUCUAGGCUAAGCUGGCUAGCCAGUGAGUUCCCGGGGUUCCUCCAGUCUCUUUCUCCCCAGUACUGAGAUUAUAAAAACACACCACACCACCACACUCAGGCUUAUAAAGUAGGUGUUGGGAACUGAACUUGCAUCCUCUGUAGGAGCACUUUGAGCUCUUAACCACUGAGCCUUCUCUCCAACUCCCUUCAGCUUUUUAUUUUUAAAUUUUAUUUAUUAAUAUUGUGUGUGUGCACGUGCACAUGUGUGUGCUCCAGUGCCUCUGUGGAGGUCAGAGAACUUGUGAGAGCUGGUUCUCUCUCUCCACUGUGGAGUUCCAUCUAACAAACUCAGGUUGUCAGAGAGAGGGAGAGAGGGAAAGGGAAGGGGGGAAGGGGGAGGGGAGAGAGAGAGAGAGAGAGAGAGAGAGAGAGAGAGAGAGAGAGAGCGCUCAAGUGUAAAAGUCUAGAUUAUAUAUUACACAGGUUGGACCCUCUGGGCUAGAAAGUUCAGGGUUGGGGGCAGGGUAUGCCAGGUAGGGACUGAGGCAUGCUGGGAGGAGAACCUAGAGGCUAGGUCUGCUUUGAUAUGUAAAAUAUACACCACCGUUCCUUGUCCCAGGGCUGGAAACCAAACACUUGUAUGUAUGAAAACACUUUUAUUCUGUAGCCCUUGUGACUGACAUUUUGCUUGUCGUGGAGCCCCAGAUGGGGAGUUAGUCUCCUCAGAUGUUUGAGGAAUGCUCAGCUGUUUCUCUGAGACCUGUCAGUAUGGCUGUCUCUGAAUGGAAUCCCUAGAAGCCGUGGGAUCCUUGCUUACUCCUUCCGUUCUUACCUGGGCCAAUUUAUGGAAUCUUUCUUCAUCAGUGUGCCAGGUUCUUGGCAUUGUACAUUUUAUUUCUUUGAAAGUUUUCUUGCUUGCUUGUUUGUUUUGAGAGAGAGAGUCUCUCUGUGUAGCUGGAAUUUGCUAAUGUGGAGCAGGCUGGCUUUGAACUCCCAGAGAUCUGUCUGCCUCUGCCUUCAAGGGCUGGGAUUAAAGACU